RNAcentral lists this unclassified non-coding RNA (292 nucleotides) under Glomus sp. RNAcentral's name for it is "partial internal transcribed spacer 2". Lineage: Eukaryota; Fungi; Glomeromycota; Glomeromycetes; Glomerales; Glomeraceae. The record is from RNAcentral.
GUGAAUCAUCGAAUUUUUGAACGCAAAUUGCACUCUCCUCUGAUAGGAUGCCUGUUUGAGUUUGAGCCUAUAUAAAAUCGACAUCGUUGCUUUUGCGCUGUGGCUUUGUCCGGAAAUUGGGUCAUCUUAAAUCCUUUUGGUUUUUAAGCGACUUAAAAUUUUCUUUUUGGUUCCAUGUACGUUUCUAAGAUUUCUUUCUUUACACGUUUAAUGUAUCGAUUUUUAUUAGACGUGACCAUCAUAUCGGAUCGCGUCCAUAAUCUUUCAUGAACUGACCUCAGCCAGGGAAGAU